UGAGGAAUAUUGGUCAAUGGGCGAGAGCCUGAGCCAGCCAAGUAGCGUGCAGGAAGACGGCCCUAUGGGUUGUAAACUGCUUUUAUGCGGGGAUAAAGUGAGGGACGUGUCCUUCAUUGCAGGUACCGCAUGAAUAAGGACCGGCUAAUUCCGUGCCAGCAGCCGCGGUAAUACGGAAGGUCCGGGCGUUAUCCGGAUUUAUUGGGUUUAAAGGGAGCGUAGGCCGUGGAUUAAGCGUGUUGUGAAAUGCAGGUGCUCAACGUCUGCACUGCAGCGCGAACUGGUCCACUUGAGUGUGCACAACGCAGGCGGAAUUCGUCGUGUAGCGGUGAAAUGCUUAGAUAUGACGAAGAACUCCGAUUGCGAAGGCAGCUUGCGGGAGCACAACUGACGCUGAAGCUCGAAAGUGCGGGUAUCGAACAGGAUUAGAUACCCUGGUAGUCCGCACGGUAAACGAUGGAUGCCCGUUGUCAGGCUGUUUCAGCCUGGUGGCCAAGCGAAAGCAUUAAGCAUCCCACCUGGGGAGUACGCCGGCAACGGUG
This 542-nucleotide ribosomal RNA is filed under the name uncultured bacterium. Its description in RNAcentral is "bacterial SSU rRNA". It matches the Rfam family "Bacterial small subunit ribosomal RNA", at positions 355 to 896 of the family's 1533-position model. The record is from RNAcentral.